GACGAACGCUGGCGGCGUGCUUAACACAUGCAAGUCGAACGGGAAGGCCCUGCUUUUGUGGGGUGCUCGAGUGGCGAACGGGUGAGUAACACGUGAGUAACCUGCCCUUGACUUUGGGAUAACUUCAGGAAACUGGGGCUAAUACCGGAUAGGAGCUCCUGCUGCAUGGUGGGGGUUGGAAAGUUUCGGCGGUUGGGGAUGGACUCGCGGCUUAUCAGCUUGUUGGUGGGGUAGUGGCUUACCAAGGCUUUGACGGGUAGCCGGCCUGAGAGGGUGACCGGCCACAUUGGGCCUGAGAUACGGCCCAGACUCCUACGGGAGGCAGCAGUGGGGAAUAUUGCACAAUGGGCGGAAGCCUGAUGCAGCAACGCCGCGUGCGGGAUGACGGCCUUCGGGUGGUAAACCGCUUUCGCCUGUGACGAAGCGUGAGUGACGGUAAUGGGUAAAGAAGCACCGGCUAACUACGU
This 467-nucleotide ribosomal RNA is filed under the name uncultured bacterium. RNAcentral's name for it is "partial 16S ribosomal RNA". It matches the Rfam family "Bacterial small subunit ribosomal RNA", at positions 28 to 506 of the family's 1533-position model. The record is from RNAcentral.